GGAGAGGUGGCAGAGUGGUCGAAUGCGCCUGACUCGAAAUCAGGUUCGGUGCAAGCCGACGGGGGUUCGAAUCCCCCCCUCUCCG
This 85-nucleotide transfer RNA is filed under the name Stenomitos rutilans HA7619-LM2. RNAcentral's name for it is "tRNA-Ser". It matches the Rfam family "tRNA". From Rfam's summary of the family: Transfer RNA (tRNA) molecules are approximately 80 nucleotides in length. Their secondary structure includes four short double-helical elements and three loops (D, anti-codon, and T loops). RNAcentral also lists the same sequence under 3 other names. The record is from RNAcentral. Lineage: Bacteria; Bacillati; Cyanobacteriota; Cyanophyceae; Leptolyngbyales; Leptolyngbyaceae.